RNAcentral lists this ribosomal RNA (420 nucleotides) under bacterium. Its description in RNAcentral is "partial 16S ribosomal RNA". It matches the Rfam family "Bacterial small subunit ribosomal RNA", at positions 355 to 776 of the family's 1533-position model. The record is from RNAcentral.
UGGGGGAUAUUGCACAAUGGGCGAAAGCCUGAUGCAGCGACGCCGCGUGGGGGAUGAAGGCUUUCGGGUUGUAAACCUCUUUCGCUAUCGAACAAGGCCCGCUUAGGGUGGGUUGAGGGUAGGUGGAGAAGAAGCGCCGGCUAACUACGUGCCAGCAGCCGCGGUAAUACGUAGGGCGCGAGCGUUGUCCGGAAUUAUUGGGCGUAAAGGGCUUGUAGGCGGCUUGUUGCGCCUGCUGUGAAAACGCGGGGCUUAACUUCGCGCGUGCAGUGGGUACGGGCAGGCUUGAGUGUGGUAGGGGUGACUGGAAUUCCAGGUGUAGCGGUGGAAUGCGCAGAUAUGUGGAGGAACACCGAUGGCGAAGGCAGGUCACUGGGCCAUUACUGACGCUGAGGAGCGAAAGCAUGGGUAGCGAACAGG